This is a long non-coding RNA of Pipra filicauda (Wire-tailed manakin), 6481 nucleotides long. RefSeq lists it as uncharacterized. The transcript is spliced from 3 exons. The record is from RefSeq and is a predicted model, not a curated record. Lineage: Eukaryota; Metazoa; Chordata; Aves; Passeriformes; Pipridae.
UUGUUACAUCCUGGAAGUGGAAAAACUCAGGAAAAUGAAAAUUAAAUAAAGGAGUAGUGCAAAUGUUUCGUUUAACCCAAUAAGGACAAGCAACAUUUAUUUCUUUGUGCUUGAUGAAGAAGCAUCCCUAUGAAAACGAUGGCAGAGCCUCAGGAUUUUGACAGUAAAAGGGUUAGGUCAAACCAUUUCCCCUUGUAAUAAGAAAAAUAAGUGAACAAGCUUGGUUUCAAAAUAAAAAAAUUGCAGAAAACGCAUUCUAUGUUGGGUUUCUUCCCAACCCCCCGUCCUUUUCAGUAGCUGUUUGUAGUGUAAUGUGGUAGUCUCUAAGUAGUUUAUUUUAAUCAGUGCUAAGAAACUUUAUUCUCAUUUUGACAAAGGCUGUUCUAUCCCUGAUAAUUGCCUUUACUAAAAGCCCAGCCCUUAUGGAGAUUAGGACAAAGAAGAUAGGUAUGUGGAAUCCAAAACCCGAUAAGAAUCAGCAAGUAAAUGAAAACUCUUUCUCAGUUCCAGAUCAUUAUAGAACCUGUGGAGAAGCUGGGGGAGAAGGCUGACGUUUAUUUCCAGUUGUGUUAACACUAUAGCUGUCCUGCAAAGAGUUGUAUGGGAGAGGACAAUAAGCAGAAAAGCAGUCAAAAGAGAUACCGCAUUCCAAAGAUGAUGGAAAAAGUGUAUGAAAGAACACACUGUCUUGCAAACAGAGUACCUUUUUUCUGUUUUAUCCUUAAAAAAAAAGAAAGAAAGGGAUACAAAAAUCCAUGAAGACUGUGGGGAUAUCUUCUGAAGAACUUCUGUCAAACCCUGCUCCAGCUAAGGCCUCAAGUUUCCAGAGGUGAAGGGACAUAUAAAACACAUGUGGAACAGGUGGCAGUGGGACAACGAGAGCAGACCUCGGACAUUUCGUUCUGUUGCUGUUGGGUAUAUGUGGGUUCUAAAGGGUAUGUUGUGUCCGGUUGGACAAUGUAAACUAUUAAAGCCAAAGAAGAGGGGAAGUGUCUCCCUAACACUUCAAUCCUUGCAUAGUUUUAAAUCACUACACUUCAAAGAAGAAAUGUUGAAGCCAGAGCACUGCUAUAUCUACCUGGUCCUUGGCUUUUUCGAGUUUCAGUAGCUGAAUGUUCCCCAAAAUUGGAAGCAAGAAGAAUGUGAACCUUCCUUCCCCUGAGUUCUACUUUGUCUGACCAUGCUCCAGUUUCUCAUCAGCACAAACUCAAAUCCAUAGCAAUUAUGUAACAGAUUGUCUGCUUUUAGUAAUGUCAGAAAAUGGUAAAACUGAAGAGUCAAUGCUUCAAAAAUAACAGAAAUUAACUGUUAUCUGCACAUCCUCUGAGGCUGAGCACCAGGAACUCUGCUCCAGGUUUCCUCUUGAGUUGGUAUAUAUUUCUCUUGAUUAUGAUAUCUGAAUGCCCCAGUAUAGAUUUACCCAAACCAGAUUUGUGGUUGCACCAGCAAAAACUAUUCUCUAUGAGUUGAGCUGACUUGCGAGAAUUUGUUUCUGGGCUUUAUCUUUAAAAUUUCUCUUGUGCUCAGAUUUUGCCCAUUACUCAUAAUUAUGUGCUUCUGACAGCCUAAAAUAAUCUCCUCUCUCCUUGAUUCUAUCCCUUCAACUACUUAAUAAUUUUUUGCACAGCUGUGAUUGAAUUAAGUUAUAUAUAUUGUUAUUUUAACUCUACUAAUAUUUCUGCUUAUUUUUCUUUGCCAUCAUCCUUUGGACGGGAUAGUGAAUUUUCUCAGAAAAGAGAUAAAACCAGAAGAUUAAAAGUGCCUUAAAUACUUCAAUAUUGUAUUUUAAAUGAAGUUUCUCACUCAGACAUUUGGUUUCUUGACUCUUUCAAUUGAGCCUGUGUCUGGGAAGGCUUGCAUUUCUCUACAUCUUCAACUGGUCUAAAAUAUAAGUUCUUUGACUUGGAGUACAACAGGGUCUAGUUCUGGAUGUUCCUUGCUCAACAAUUGAAUCAGACAUGCCCAUGAACUCAGCCAGUCUUUUUUGCCAGAGGGAUUAAAAUGCAAUAUGAAGUUUGCAGAGGGCUGUGCUGUGGACUGCCUUCUGCGUGCAAGGCCCAUUACUAUUCUAGGAUUUGUCAGCAUGGUCUAGCCUUUAGCCCAUCCAAACCAAUAUAGACAAUCAUUUUGUCUGUCUGUGGUUCAUCAGCUGCAUCAUAAACUUAUAUUAGUUUAUAAUCUGGAUUUGUGAACACUACACAAGUUCUGAAGAGUUGGAAAAAAAUUCUUUAUUUCAAAUACAUCUACAUGUUUUUAAAGGAAGAUGUGAAAUAAAACUGAAUAAAAUAUAAUGAAUAACAAUACUUAUUAUUAAUUCAAUUUCUUCAAAUGGAGAUUGGAGGUUAGAGAGCAUCUGAAGAUUGUUUGUAUAUGUUUGAAAGUAUACGAGUCUGACAAUUUGAGCAGUUACUAGUUAGUCUGACUUUUCUUUCCUCAUUUCAUCUGCUGGCUCUACAGAAACUUCACAAGCUAGUAGUCCUUCAGUUAAAGACCCAUUGAAGUUUACUGUCAAGCAGCUAAAACCAUCAGAGCAGAUACCCAGAAAUAAUUUUUAUCUCCAUUAUAAUCCUGAUAAAUUAUCUUUUCUGACCCCAGACCCAAGGCUCUAAAUGUAUGAGAAUGGACAGGAGGCAUGAGGAACUAGCCAUUGCAGCUCUGCUGGAGAAGAUUAUUUGAAUUGCAUUUGGAAGCGUCUAUCUAACAUACAAAUGUCACAAACCAUCGUCUUAGGCCAAGUAACCACAAUAGUAAUACAUAAUCUCUGAGGAAAGUAUUACAGCUUGUUCCCAUAAUUUCAGCUUCCAUUUGAUUAAAGAAGAUAUUUGUUUUUUAUUUUUUCUGUGUAUUAGUGCUAACAGUGCAUAGAAAUGAUACUUAAAACUCACUGUGUUCUUAGUGUAAAAAACAUACGAAAAUAAGUAAAGGACUAUAUAGACUCUCCUAUAUUUAUCAACUAACUUACUAUGUUUUUCAUCAUCCAAGAAGAAGAGAAAAAAGAAAGGAUUUAAGUAACACUUAAGAGACUUUUUUCCCCAAAGGAAGUGGUGUGUUAAAACUUAAUGUUUGGAGUGAAUAUCCCCUGAUAAAGAUAUUCUCCAGAAAUUAUUUUCAAAUGCUGAUUUCCCUAAGAAAUUUGGUUCCUGCUAAAUUUUUACAGUGUCAAUGUCUAAGACACUAAUUUCAUGUUCAUAAUAGCAUAAUAUCCCAUAAAUUUAUUGUCUUUAAAUUCAGAUAUCUUUCACCCCACUGUAAUGGAUGAGUAAUUUCUGACUCUGCAUUACUCACGUUAAUAUGAACUUCAGUUUGCUAGUGAGUAAACCACAACAGAUCUGCAACAGCAGGGAAAAGAGUGCACUUAAACUUUAUAUAAUUUGCCUCUCUCAGGUGGUAAAAGUGUAUAAUUUUGACAUAGAGCUUUAUUGAAGUUACUAGAGAGAUAUGUAUAUUGAGUUACUGGGAUAGGCAUCAAAGUGUUGCAGGGCCUCAGCAUAAGAGAAAUAACAUACUGCAAGAGAAACAGGUUUUUUUUCUUCUAUCAUUUGCCUUGGUCUAAGAAAUGAACUACAAUCUAGAUCCAGGACCAGAAGUGUUUACAUUACUAAGAACUAAGAAGCUUCUGUUAGCUUUAUUACUACCAAUUAAAAAGCUAAAUAUCCUUUCAAGCAACAACAAGAGUUCAUUCAAAGACUUAUACAUUAAUUUCAGAGGUAAUUUUGUAUAAAUGAUUUUGUAUAAAUGAUUUAGCAACUUCACUUGUGUUCUUGCAUUUCUACUAAAUUUCAAUGUGUUUGAACAAUCAAUGUUUAACUAACCAGCAAUCAAGAUGUUCUUUAAAAUGUAAAUUGAAUAAUUAUUUAAGCUUUUUUUCUGAAGUUGGAAAAUGGGUGUUAAGAUUUUUAAAAGUAUUUGCAUUUCCCAACUACUUUUUGAGGCCUUGGAUGUACACUUUAUGGUAGUACCAUUUCAGCUACCAGUGUUAGCAACUGAAAUACAGACCUACUGAUAUUAAUUUAACCUUUUCAUUUUUUAGAAGAUUAGUCUCCUGUUUUCAGAGCGUCUGUCCUAAGAUUUCAAGCUGUCACUUCCAAAAGUAUCUUUAGCAUCCACACAGUAUUUUUUCAAACUUUCUAUAAUAUAGAUAUGCUUCCAAAACAAAAGUAAAAAUAUUUCAAGCAAAAUCACAUACAUGAAUUUAAGCAGGAAUAUGUUGUUUCCAGUAGGAAACUGCAAAGGUUUUCUGCUUCUAUGUUGAUCUUUAAUUUUAAGAUGUUUCACCAUAAAUAAAAACUGCUGCACUUGACAUCAUUCAAUGGUCAUCGAAUUAGGCUGACAAUUUGUUCGCUUGAACUUAGACCUGUACUAUCUCCAAAAUCUCUCUGUUACCCACAUUGUAGUAUUUAAUUUCAUUCAGAUUGGGAUCUAAAACCGUAGUAUUUUUAAGAUCGACUCCUAACACAUAUUUUAUUAAUAUCUAGAGCUACAAUGACAUAAAAAUUGCUUUGAAUAAAUACUAUAAAUGUAAGGGUAUGCUCAUUUAGCAAUUUCUAAGUCAUUAAGUUUCGGGUUUUGCCACAAGAUUCAAAGUUGGAUCAUCAGAUAGCAUUUUCUAUUACUUUACUAUUAUGAGGUCAUAAACUCAGAUGUAGUCUUGUGGUUUAAAAUCAUGAGUUGUUAUUUGAACAUGUUAUUUGAACAUGUAGAAUAUUUGAGACAACUUGGCAAUGUCACUUUAUUAACUAAUUCCAACUAUGCUUGUUUGUAUCUCUUACCUGACACAAAAAAAUAUGAUAUUCUGUUUUUAGCUAGGAAUUAAACUUCGAAAGCAGUGAAUCUCUUUUUUCUCUGAGCAGUUACCAAAACACUGAAAAGAAUAUUAUUAAUGUAUUUGUACUUACAGAAAAGCACAUAAGACCUUAUAGAGACAACAAUUCACAAAGUACAGACAGGGAUAUAUCUGAAAUUUAAAGAGACAAAGUGAGUUAGGAGAUCAAACGAUGAGGUUAAAGAGGAGCACUCAAAAGUUAACAAAAGUAGAGAAGUGAUUAUGACUGAGAUUGAAGCUAAUAGAGAGAGCAAGACCAAGGAGUCCCAGAGUAGCAGUUGCUGACAAAAAGUCACUACAAUGACAGAAAGAAAAUAAUUCUGUAUCUGUAAAGUGAAACAACUGUGCAGGAUUUUGUUUGCUUGUCUUUCUUCUACCACUAAACCAUACAUUUCUAGUAGAAAGGGUAAGCUUUGAUACCACAGACUGGAAUAGUUCUCAAAAUCCCACUAAUUUUGUCUCUGUGCAGUUAGAAUUAUUACAUAUAAUUCAACUUUCUAAAAAGUAAAAUUGUUAGAUAAAAUAAGUUAGUUGGGAAAUUUGUUUUCUCUAGAUAUACUUUUAUUGAGUAUAAGAAUUCAUAGCUCAAUUAGGUACUUAAAGAGUCACCAAAAAAGCUACUCCUAUUCAAAUAAAAAAAAAAAAAAAAAAUUACAAAGUGCUUCCUAUGUUAGAAAGUGCUUCCUAUGUUGGAAGCUAUUAAUAAAUUGAUAUAAUAGGAAGGAUAAGAUUUGGCAGCAUGCACUAUAGGGUUUUUUGUUUGGGAAAAUAAAGUCUAAUACAACUGCCAUAUGUAGGAUUUACAUUAUUUGAUGACUAGAAUGAUUCAAACAAAUAUCUUAGUUUCCUAGAUGCCCCUUAAAUCAGAGAUUUUUCAAAACUGACAAAAAAUAAAUUAUUGAGGUUCUGUGGGAUUUACACAGAAUUUCCUUAAUCUUCUGUGAUUCUACAUUUCUCUACUGACCCUCAUUCCUGCAUAAAUUUAACAGCCAGUAUAAGUUUCUGGUAGCUAUAAACUGCAACAUGGUCACCAUUUGCCUUCUUCCAUCUAUUACCCAGUGGAAAUUAUUUACGUGUUACCUUCAGUUCAAGUAAACUUUUUAGUUUUUCUCAAGGCCUAACACUAUUAUUUUUCAUGAUGACUAACAAAAAAAUUACUCUCCCAUGCAUCAAUCAGCUUUGCCCUUUGAGUGACUGUGGGAGACCAGGAGAAGUGUGCUACGGAGGAUUGUGUCUAUGAGCAGUGGAAGGCAAACAUAGAAAUCUGCGAGGAAGUUCUUGGAACACCAGAAGAAUGCACCUUUUCUACUUUUGUUUAAGGAGUUGGAUUGUUAAAGUACUUUAUACUCAUCAGUAAUGUUAAUGUUGAAUGUUUGGAAUGUUAUUGCCUUAUAAUAUCCCUUUGAUUGUCAAUUUACCACAUGUCCCUCAGUCUUUGGUACCUCAAUUUGCGCCCUUGUUCAUGAUUGGUUCAAAAAUGCUGCAUUGCAGUAUCUAAUUCAUUAGUAAUCCCUUGUUUGAAUAUCUCUGCCCUUAUUCUCCCUCCAUUGGUUUGUAUUUGCAUGUUCCUCCCAAACUCCUCCCCUUUUUCCAGUUCCUUCCCUCCUGACCCUAUUUAAGUCUGAUUCUCACCUCAAUAAAGGACCAUUUUUGCCUGUA